GCCCUUGUUGAUUUUAUAUCACAUCUAGUCCAUAAUGCACCCGCUGCAAGCAUGGAUACUCAUGUCACUUGAUGGGAAAAGCUUGGAGAGGGAGGAUUUGGAACUAGUUAAGAUUCUUCAAUACGGUCUGCUAUCCCUUCAGCGCUUGUUGACAAAGAAUCCGGAUUUAGCUUCAGUGGUCUCCACAAAGGAGAAGCUAUUGCCCCUCUUCGAAUGCUUUUCUCUUCCUGUUUCUUCAUCAAGCAACAUUCCUCAGCUAUGUCUACUUGUUUUGUCACGGUUGACAACAUAUGCACCUUGUGUGGAAGCAAUGGU
Molecule: non-coding RNA, 315 nt
Organism: Sesamum indicum (sesame)
Lineage: Eukaryota; Viridiplantae; Streptophyta; Magnoliopsida; Lamiales; Pedaliaceae
Source: RefSeq, a predicted model, not a curated record